UGACUGACCUGCCACCCCUUUACAGUGAUCUCCACCCAGUCUCUCUCUGCAAAGGCCUCCCUUGGCUCUCUGAUAAAGUUGGAGCUGUGGGUGCAGCAUUUCACUUCCACCUAGCAGCAUCAAUGAGCCAGCUGCUUACUGGGGAACACGCAAACCCCCAGCUGCUGGCGUGCAGGAAAAGAAUCCAGGAGAUCACCUGAUGAAGCCCAGCAUUUUACAGAGCAAAGUGGUGAAAGGACCCUGGUGAGAGGCCCAAAGAACAGGAGGUGUGAGCCAACAGAAGGUGGGGUCCUGCUGGGCCUAUGUUGCAGGCUAUUUGGAGGCUGAACUUGAGGAAGACAGAUGUCAGCUUUCUGAAGAAAGUGUCAAGCAUUUGUCCCUUACAAGGACUGGGAAGAAAGAGCACACAUCUUCCCUGUUGCCCUGCCCUUGACAUAUUUAUAACAUCCCAGGACUGGCCCUGACCAUCCUCUCCCAAGUAACGGAAUGUCAAGACGAGUGCAGAGAUUAUGCUGUAAGUAGAAAAGCUUUACAGUAAGCCGAGGUGAUCACCAGCCUCCCUGAGCUAAAAUAAUCACAGGCUUUUUGUCUUAGUGACCCCUGUCCUACUCUCAGGCACCUUAUAUCCUCAAAUCUUAAAUAGAGUUAAGAGAUUACGCA
RNAcentral lists this long non-coding RNA (660 nucleotides) under Pongo abelii (Sumatran orangutan). Its description in RNAcentral is "lincRNA". The record is from RNAcentral. Lineage: Eukaryota; Metazoa; Chordata; Mammalia; Primates; Hominidae.